RNAcentral lists this long non-coding RNA (397 nucleotides) under Mytilus galloprovincialis (Mediterranean mussel). The record is from RNAcentral. Lineage: Eukaryota; Metazoa; Mollusca; Bivalvia; Mytilida; Mytilidae.
GCGAUAUAGGAAGCAUUUAUUGAGAAAAUGAAGAAAGAGAAAAAUUAUUGAUUAAGACUCUUUUGAAUAUCAGAAUGAAAUAUAUAUACAAGGUAUGUCAGGCUUCUGAAAUGGUAGUUUUGAUAUUUAAAGUCAAUGAAAAAAGUGAGUGCCGAUUACAUAAAGUCUCAAAAUGAAUUUAUAGAUUAAAGCUUUAGCUAUUUCUGCUACAGCCAGCAUUUUUUAUUUUAUUCCAGUAUGCAUUAGUGGCACUUUUGUUACAGCCUUCAGGACCUCCAUUAUGCAUACGUGCAUAAUCUUCACAAGUUGUUCCACAAGUCGAAUCUCCAUAACGAUUCAUGUAAGCCUGAACACAUUCUUUGGCACAAUCAUAAUCCUUUGUACACUCUUCAUAACC